Long non-coding RNA from Dalotia coriaria, 1859 nucleotides. RefSeq lists it as uncharacterized. The record is from RefSeq and is a predicted model, not a curated record. The transcript has 3 exons. Lineage: Eukaryota; Metazoa; Arthropoda; Insecta; Coleoptera; Staphylinidae.
GUUUAGAGAUAUUCAAGUAUGAAGUAUGCACGACGUGUCAAUGAAGUUGAAUGAAUAGCAUACUCGUUUACUUCCACCGUUUCUCUAGAAUUCAUGUCAGGCAUCAUAAAUAACUACCUGGAAUAAACACAUUCAUUAUUCCAGACAAUAAAACAACACUACGUAUUUACCAUUACGCUGAUAUCAAUAAUUUAUAAAGACGGCAGAAAUAAUAACUGGAUGUUGACAAAGCCAUCCACCAAAUAAACAAUUUACGACAUUAGUGGUUGCAUAAUUAAUUAACCCGCCAUACUGACAACGCAGUAAAUUAUGUGAACAUUAUUAGUUGACUAGAAACUUUCUGAAGUAAGUGUUGAACUUUUAAUAAAUUUACAAUGGACGACAUAUUUACAAAAAUUCCUGAAUGUAUAGGAGUUUUGCCCGAUAAUUCACUAUAUCAUAAUUAUCCAAAAAUAUAUGCACUUUAUUCAAUGUUGCAUUUUAUCUACAACCUCGGACUCAUCAUGUAUCCAGUAGUCAUUAGUAUAAUUGAUAUUAUCCAUGGACUAUAUCCAAAAAAUGAAAUUUCGUUCGAAAUAAUGGUUGCAGUAAAGCAUAUUUUAUAUGCCCUCAUUGUGAGUAUAUCAGUGUUGUGGCAAAACUUGUUAUAUCCGAGGACUUACAUUGAUAUGAAAAUACAAUUUCGUAAAAUUGAUGCAAUUUUAGUAAGACGCGGAAUUUCAUUUGACUCUCGAUUUGCUUGGAUAAAAUACAUUAUUUUUUACAGUGGAUACAUUUUAUACGUAAUUUAUUUAUAUCAUAUUGCUGGCCAUGAUGAGCAUGUAGUAUAUAUUGUGUUAGUAAGCUGGAUACAUUACAACUUUGCUUUGGAAAUAGUCCUUGCAUGGAGAUGGCUGGAAUUGAUUCGCCAACGUUUAUAUUAUUUAAAUGCGUUAAUUAAAGAUUUAGAAUUAAAUUCCAGCAAACAUUCAGAACAACUUGACUAUGUAGUCUCACCAGAAGACGUAAUUAAUCAUACUGGGAAAUAUGUAAAUGAUUUGAUUGAAAUUCAAAGAAGAAUCGUAAUAAUCGUGAACGCAUUUAAUGUUCUUAUGGGUACCAGUGUGGCGUUGAGAAGUUUCCUGUUUAUUAUCGAAAUAUUGAUUGUUGUAUUACGAAUUACUAUUCAUUUACCGGAUGGAUUUUUGUUAUCAUUAAUUGACACAUUAAUUGAAGGAUUUGGAUGGUGCGCAAUUAUCGUAAAAUCUCAACAUGUGGUUGAUGAAGGAGCUAAAUCAGUUGAUAGAUGUUUUGAUGCCACAACAUGUUGGUUACAAAGUAAUAACAAGUCUGAUAUGGAUAAAGAAUUAUUAUCUCAUUUAAGUCAACGUGUGGCGACACAAAUGCCACGUUUUACUGCCGCUAAAUUUUAUAAUGUCGAUUUUGCAGCGUUUUUUAUGUUAUUAAAUAUGACAGUAGGUUAUAUUAUUAUUGUUAUUCAGUUUUCAUAAUUUCUAAACCAAAGAUAAUUUUAUAUCAAUUUGCAUCUAUUUAAUAUUAUUAAGAAUAUUUAUAAAAAAAAACAUUGACUCAUUUAAUAAUUUUCCUGAAACACGCAAAUUAUAUAUGAAUGUAUUUUUCUUUCGUAAAUGUUUCAAUUGGAUUGCAUGUUAUUAUCAAGUUGUAAUAAAAAAAGGCUAAUCAGUAAAAUGUAUAUCUACUUGUUCAAUCGUAUUUCAUCGAAUUAAUAAUACAAAACUUAUUAUCAUUUGUGAUAUUUGUGUGAAAAGUCAAGGUGGCGGCUAUUUUAUUUCUUUUAUUAUUCAACUAAGUUACUUAUUAAGAAAUUAUUGUUUAGAAAUACAUAAAACAUGUCAAGA